UACGGAGGAUGCGAGCGUUAUCCGGAUUUAUUGGGUUUAAAGGGUGCGUAGGCGGAUUAAUAAGUCAGUGGUGAAAACCUUCAGCUUAACUGGAGAACUGCCAUUGAUACUGUUAGUCUUGAGUACGGUCAAGGUAGGCGGAAUGUGUAAUGUAGCGGUGAAAUGCUUAGAUAUUACACAGAACACCGAUUGCGAAGGCAGCUUACUGGGCCAUUACUGACGCUGAUGCACGAAAGCGUGGGGAGCGAACAGGAUUAGAUACCCUGGUAGUCCACGCCGUAAACGAUGAUCACUCGCUGUUGGCGAUACACAGUCAGCGGCUAAGCAAAAGCAUUAAGUGAUCCACCUGGGGAGUACGGCCGCAAGGCUGAA
Molecule: ribosomal RNA, 372 nt
Filed under: uncultured bacterium
Lineage: Bacteria
Description: bacterial SSU rRNA
Rfam family: Bacterial small subunit ribosomal RNA
Source: RNAcentral